This 501-nucleotide ribosomal RNA is filed under the name uncultured bacterium. RNAcentral describes it as "partial 16S ribosomal RNA". It matches the Rfam family "Bacterial small subunit ribosomal RNA", at positions 30 to 523 of the family's 1533-position model. The record is from RNAcentral.
AUUGAACGCUGGCGGCAGGCUUAACACAUGCAAGUCGAGCGGGGGAAGGUAGCUUGCUACCGGACCUAGCGGCGGACGGGUGAGUAAUGCUUAGGAAUCUGCCUAUUAGUGGGGGACAACAUCUCGAAAGGGAUGCUAAUACCGCAUACGUCCUACGGGAGAAAGCAGGGGAUCUUCGGACCUUGCGCUAAUAGAUGAGCCUAAGUCGGAUUAGCUAGUUGGUGGGGUAAAGGCCUACCAAGGCGACGAUCUGUAGCGGGUCUGAGAGGAUGAUCAGCCACACUGGGACUGAGAAACGGGCCAGACUCCUACGGGAGGCAGCAGUGGGGGAUAUUGGACAAUGGGGGGAACCCUGAUCCAGCCAUGCCGCGUGUGUGAAGAAGGCCUUAUGGUUGUAAAGCACUUUAAGCGAGGAGGAGGCUACUUUAGUUAAUACCUAGAGAUAGUGGACGUUACUCGCAGAAUAAGCACCGGCUAACUCUGUGCCAGCCGCCGCAGUAA